GCGGGUGUGGCGAAACUGGUAGACGCACUAGAUUUAGGUUCUAACGCCGCGAGGCGUGGGGGUUCAAGUCCCUCCACCCGCACCA
Molecule: transfer RNA, 85 nt
Filed under: Rickettsiaceae bacterium
Lineage: Bacteria; Pseudomonadati; Pseudomonadota; Alphaproteobacteria; Rickettsiales; Rickettsiaceae
Description: tRNA-Leu
Rfam family: tRNA
About the family: Transfer RNA (tRNA) molecules are approximately 80 nucleotides in length. Their secondary structure includes four short double-helical elements and three loops (D, anti-codon, and T loops). Further hydrogen bonds mediate the characteristic L-shaped molecular structure. tRNAs have two regions of fundamental functional importance: the anti-codon, which is responsible for specific mRNA codon recognition, and the 3' end, to which the tRNAs corresponding amino acid is attached (by aminoacyl-tRNA synthetases). tRNAs cope with the degeneracy of the genetic code in two manners: having more than one tRNA (with a specific anti-codon) for a particular amino acid; and 'wobble' base-pairing, i.e. permitting non-standard base-pairing at the 3rd anti-codon position.
Source: RNAcentral